This 71-nucleotide transfer RNA is filed under the name Leucochrysa pretiosa. Its description in RNAcentral is "tRNA-Val". It matches the Rfam family "tRNA". From Rfam's summary of the family: Transfer RNA (tRNA) molecules are approximately 80 nucleotides in length. Lineage: Eukaryota; Metazoa; Arthropoda; Insecta; Neuroptera; Chrysopidae. The record is from RNAcentral.
CAAAUUAAAGCUUGAGUAGUAAAGCAUUUCAUUUACAUUGAAAAGGUAUUGUGCAAAUCAAUUUAAUUUGA